UACCAUCACAUGACUUGACCUGCGCGUGGAGGGUGAGAGAGAGAGAGAGAAUGGAGGAUGAGAGGAAGAUGAGCAUCUCUGAAGCAGUGGCCAUGAAUGGAGGGAACGGACCUUGCAGUUACGAGCAGAACUCUUCUAUCAGAAAGAAGUCGCUGCCGCCGCCAUGGAUAUGAUCAAGGAAGCUUUACCCACAACCCUUGAUCUCUACCACCUCCCGUUAUCCUCUCCAAACCCCAUAAUCAGAAUAGCAGACUUCGGUUGCUCUACAGGACUCACAUCCAUCCAAGCCAUCGAAACCAUAGUACAAUGCCUCUUAGACCUCAUCAAACCAAUCAAAGAACCCCGAUUUCGUACCCUCGAGUUCCAAGCCAUCUUCAGCGACCUCCCCACCAAUGACUUCAACACGCUUUUCACCAACCACCUGCCAGUGAGGCGGCGCUACUAUGCCAUGGCAGCCCCAGGAUCGUUCCAUGGCCGUCUCCUCCCGACUGCAUCCCUACACUUUGCAUAAUCGUCCUAUGCACUCCACUGGCUGUCCCGCCUUCCACAAGAGAUACUGGACAAGUCUUCCCGUGCUUGGAAUGGAGAGAGAAUUUAUCACGUGAACUCGCCCGCCGAGGUCGUCGGGGCUUACUCCGCUCAGUUCGGGAGAGACAUGGAGAUGUUUCUCAGUGCGAGAGCGGAGGAGAUGGUCGGUGAAGGAUUGAUAUUUAUGGUCAUGCCUGGUGAGCCAGAUUUGGUUCAUGAUUCUCAGACCACCAUAGGGUCAGAAUUCGAGCUGCUGGGUUCUUGCCUUGUGGACAUGGCAAAAGAGGGGAUCAUAAGCAAAGCCAAAGUAGAGAGCUUCAACUUGCCAAUAUAUUUCCCAUCAGAAAAGGAGCUGAAACAAGUGAUUAGUCGAAACGAAUUCUUCCACAUCGAGAGGAUUCAGACUCUAAGCCACCUCAA
This is a long non-coding RNA of Eucalyptus grandis, 948 nucleotides long. RefSeq lists it as uncharacterized. The transcript is spliced from 3 exons. Lineage: Eukaryota; Viridiplantae; Streptophyta; Magnoliopsida; Myrtales; Myrtaceae. The record is from RefSeq and is a predicted model, not a curated record.